RNAcentral lists this ribosomal RNA (1161 nucleotides) under Triticum aestivum (bread wheat). RNAcentral describes it as "partial small subunit ribosomal RNA". Lineage: Eukaryota; Viridiplantae; Streptophyta; Magnoliopsida; Poales; Poaceae. The record is from RNAcentral.
AUGGCCCGCGCUCCCGCCCCCGCCGGAUGCAUCCUCAUCGUUGCCGUCGUGCUCGCGGUGGCAGCCUCCCCCGUGCGCGCGGCGGCCCCGCCGGCUGCCUCUCCGGAGAAGUCUAAGGCCAUGUCGUUGCCGGCCGCCGCGCUGGCGAAGGCGCACGGCGCGGCGCUCAGGGUGGUCAACACCCUCGAGGCUGGCGUGUCCGGGACCCUUGGGAUGCUGAAGAGCACGCUGGGCGGACAUGGUAGGGGUAAGGCCUCCGCUGGCGCCGGUGCCCCGGGGGGAGGCGCGCCCGCCAUGGCCCCAGCUGGCGCAGGCGGCCGGCGUCAUGGCCCGCCGACCAUGGCCCCUGCCGCUAGCGCCCCUGAACACGGCGCGCAUGCCAGGAGCCCUGCCGCUGGCGCCCCGGAGUAUGGCUCGGCGGCCAUGGGCCCUGCCGCCAGCUCCCCGGGGCAUGGCUCAGCAGCCAUGGGCCCUGCCUCCGGCGCUCCGAAGUCCGCCAUGAGCCCUGCCUCCGGCGCUCCGAGGUCCGCCAUGGGCCCUGCCUCCGGCGCUCCGACGUCCACCAUGGGCCCUGCCUCCGGCGCUCCGAGGUCCGCCAUGGGCCCUGCCUCCGGCGCUCCGAGGUCCGCCAUGGGCCCUGCCUCCGGCGCUCCAAGGUCUGCCAUGGGCCCUGCCUCCGGCGCUCCGAGGUCGGCCAUGGGCCCUGCCUCCGGCGCUCCGAGGUCGGCCAUGGGCCCUGCCUCCGGCGCUCCGAGGUCCGCCAUGGGCCCUGCCUCCGGCGCUCCGAGGUCUGCCAUGGGCAUGGGCCCCGCCGCGGAAUCUCCGGGGCACAAAGCUUUCACCAUGGAAGUAGGCGGCGUCUCCGGUCCAGCGGGCGCCCCCGACGCUAAGGUGUCCAGCGAAGAAGCCGCCUUCCCGCCCGACACGCCCAUUGCCAGCGAGGCCACCGAGGCCAAGGUCACCAGUUCGGCAGACGAAAGCUCGACGGAGACCGAAGACACCCCCGCCGCCGCCGAGGGGGAGGGGCCCGCGGCGGCGGCUCCUGGUCCCGACUCCGAGGCGGCCGACCACGCUGGCGGAGCGAGCGUCGUCAAGUCCAGCGGCCUCGGGCCCGUCGUUGCGUUCUUGACCGCCGUCGUGUGCGUCGUGGGUGCUCUCUAA